RNAcentral lists this ribosomal RNA (468 nucleotides) under uncultured bacterium. RNAcentral's name for it is "partial 16S ribosomal RNA". It matches the Rfam family "Bacterial small subunit ribosomal RNA", at positions 28 to 507 of the family's 1533-position model. The record is from RNAcentral.
GACGAACGCUGGCGGUAUGCUUAACACAUGCAAGUCGAACGGAAAGGUCCUGCUUUUGUGCGGUGCGCGAGGGGCGAACUGGUGAGUAACACGUGGGUAACCUGCGCUUGACAGAAGGGUAACGUCAAGAAACGCGGGCUAAUACCGGAUAGGAGCUACUGCUGCAAAGUGGUGGUGGGAAAGCUUCGGCAGUUGGGGAUGGAGCCGGCGCUUAAGAGCGUGUUGGUGGGGUAGGGGCUUACCAAGGCUUUGACCGGUAGCAGGGCUGAGAGGGUGGGCGGCCAACUUGGGACUGAGAUCCGGCCCAGGCCCCUACCGGAGGCAAGAGUGGGGAAUAUUGCAAAAUGGGCGGAAGGCUGGUGCAAGCACGCCGGGUGCGGGAAGGCAGCCUUCUGGUUGUAGUCCACUUCCUCCUGUGACGGAGCGUGCAUGACGGUAAUGGGUAAAGAAGCACCGGCUAACUACGUG